Molecule: long non-coding RNA, 278 nt
Filed under: Ictidomys tridecemlineatus (thirteen-lined ground squirrel)
Lineage: Eukaryota; Metazoa; Chordata; Mammalia; Rodentia; Sciuridae
Description: lncRNA (ENSSTOG00000030673.1)
Source: RNAcentral
UCAGACUCUGACCCCUGAAUCUGAACCUAAGAAGCCUGCAGGUGAGUGACGGUAAAAGGAAUUCAACACAGAAAUGAAUGAGGAGAAAUUUGAAAAUAUGCACAAUGCACCCACGGGCAUGGUAAUAAACAUUGUGCUUCUGGAAAGUACAGUAAAAAGAAGCCUGCACUGUGCCCAAAAGAAAGCGUAGGAGAGCAGAGAGUCAGCAUGGGAAAAGAAAGAAGAAGCAGAGCAAGCAAAGCAGCAGUGGGAAAAAAAGUCCUUUAUCGUGUACAAGC